RNAcentral lists this ribosomal RNA (464 nucleotides) under uncultured bacterium. RNAcentral's name for it is "bacterial SSU rRNA". It matches the Rfam family "Bacterial small subunit ribosomal RNA", at positions 917 to 1382 of the family's 1533-position model. The record is from RNAcentral.
GGACCCGCACAAGCAGCGGAGCAUGUGGUUUAAUUCGAAGCAACGCGAAGAACCUUACCUAGACUUGACAUCUCCUGAAUUACUCGUAACUGAGGAAGUCCCGACCGGGACAGGAAGACAGGUGGUGCAUGGUUGUCGUCAGCUCGUGUCGUGAGAUGUUGGGUUAAGUCCCGCAACGAGCGCAACCCCUAUUGUUAGUUGCUACCAUUAAGUUGAGCACUCUAGCGAGACUGCCUGGGUUAACCAGGAGGAAGGUGGGGAUGACGUCAAAUCAUCAUGCCCCUUAUGUCUAGGGCUACACACGUGCUACAAUGGCCGGUACAAUGAGAUGCAAUCCCGCGAGGGGGAGCUAAACUUAUAAAACCGGUCCCAGUUCGGAUUGUAGGCUGAAACUCGCCUACAUGAAGUUGGAGUUGCUAGUAAUCGCGAAUCAGCAUGUCGCGGUGAAUACGUUCCCGGGUCUU